AAUAUAAUUAAGUUAUUUCAUGAAAAUAGUCAGCCGGUAGAGCUGAGAGAUCCUGUAAAUGUCCCAAAGGCUGCAACACAAACUUACCUUUUAUUAAACAGUGAUUCAUGUGGAUGAGAGACUGCAUAAAUGUCUCAGUAAUGACAAAAGUUUCAAUUACAGUUCAUUAUGGGUCUCAGUAUAAAUCUGUGGGAAACCAGAAUUCUUGGGCUCAUGUUCUCCCAGAAUAACUUGUUUAAUGUCCUCCAGUCAGAGGUAGGUGCAAGUGGAAGGGGUAUAUGAAGAGGGAAAGAGAUAAAUGAGAAAUUACAAACGUCUGUAUUUUGCAAGUCAUUUCAUCUGCUUUGUUGUGUGGGCCUGGCCGUAAAGCUUGGUAUGACAGGGGCUUCACAAAACUGAGAUUAAAGGGGGGGAAAAAAAAAGUAGAAAGUACACAUAGAAAUACAAGAUCCAUUAGGACAGACAGCUGAAGAUGAGAAGGAAACUGAAGGCACUUGGAAUGGGAAGGUGCGGAGAGGUUUUCACAGUGGGGCAGAGAUUACGGCAAUGGUAUCUUCUUCUGAAUUCUUCUCUGAGGAGAGCCCUGCUGCUGCUAGGAGCAAGCUGUCUGGUUUUACAAAAGUCAGAAGAGAUGGUACUUGGAAAGAAAGUAAGAGAAUGCUCAAGAGUCAGUUAAGGUGAGACAAGGAAAACUUGUUGGAGGUAAAAAACUUCCCCAAGUACCAAGUUCUGGGAGAGGAGCUAUCAAAAUAAAUUUAGUAAGUUCCAUUAAAGUAAGUAAACAAUGGUCUCUUUCUACAAAAAUACAAAUGUAAAUUGCAUACCAGUAAACGCCCACAAAAGGAGACAGUAGAAGACAGAAACAAAACUGCACAGAAUACCCUAUCAGAAAAUAAUCCCUUAAAUUUGGCCUGACACUAGAGAGAUAGCAAAAGUACAAAUAUCUGUUACUGUGAAUGUGAGAAAUGCACAGCUCACACUGUGAAUUACUGCUGCUGAAACCCUCAUAGCACACAGCGCCUGGGUGGCAGAGAUUCUGAAGAAUAUGAAAUUAAGUGGCCUGAUAACUGCAUGUGUUUGGAAUGAGUACUUAUCCAUCACUGUGGCACUAGUUUGUGAGCUUGGCUACCUUAAAUUACCCCAUACCGAC
RNAcentral lists this long non-coding RNA (1150 nucleotides) under Anas platyrhynchos (mallard). RNAcentral describes it as "lncRNA (ENSAPLG00020001641.1)". Lineage: Eukaryota; Metazoa; Chordata; Aves; Anseriformes; Anatidae. The record is from RNAcentral.